RNAcentral lists this non-coding RNA (214 nucleotides) under Ruminococcus sp. RNAcentral's name for it is "T-box sequence". It matches the Rfam family "T-box leader". From Rfam's summary of the family: Uncharged tRNA acts as the effector for transcription antitermination of genes in the T-box leader family. T-boxes are found upstream of many aminoacyl-tRNA synthetase genes and some amino acid biosynthetic genes usually in Gram-positive bacteria. The record is from RNAcentral. Lineage: Bacteria; Bacillati; Bacillota; Clostridia; Eubacteriales; Oscillospiraceae.
ACAAACGCAGUGAAGGGAAUCCGGUUCUGUGUCCGAUGCAGCAGAGAACUGCCGGUUGGUGCAAGGCAGCGCAGCAGCAGAAUCAUCUCAUCCCGGAGCGGGACGCUGAAGCAGUGGUGAGUAGGCGUUUCCGGGUGCUCCCGUUACAGAGCAGAAAGCGGGCGGCAAUGCCGUCAAAAAGAGUGGUACCGUGGAGCAGCGCUUCACCUCUUUU